CCUACGGGUGGCAGCAGUGAGGAAUAUUGGUCAAUGGACGAGAGUCUGAACCAGCCAAGUAGCGUGAAGGAUGACUGCCCUAUGGGUUGUAAACUUCUUUUAUAUGGGAAUAAAAUGUUCCACGUGUGGGAUUUUGUAUGUACCAUAUGAAUAAGGAUCGGCUAACUCCGUGCCAGCAGCCGCGGUAAUACGGAGGAUCCGAGCGUUAUCCGGAGUUAUUGGGUUUAAAGGGAGCGUAGGUGGAUUGUUAAGUCAGUUGUGAAAGUUGGCGGCUCAACCGUAAAAUUGCAGUUGAAACUGGCAGUCUUGAGUACAGUAGAGGUGGGCGGAAUUCGUGGUGUAGCGGUGAAAUGCUUAGAUAUCACGAAGAACUCCGAUUGCGAAGGCAGUUCACUGGACUGCAACUGACACUGAGGCUCGAAAGUGUGGGUAUCAAACAGGAUUAGAUACCCUAGUAGUC
Molecule: ribosomal RNA, 460 nt
Filed under: uncultured bacterium
Lineage: Bacteria
Description: partial 16S ribosomal RNA
Rfam family: Bacterial small subunit ribosomal RNA
Source: RNAcentral